RNAcentral lists this ribosomal RNA (375 nucleotides) under uncultured bacterium. Its description in RNAcentral is "bacterial SSU rRNA". It matches the Rfam family "Bacterial small subunit ribosomal RNA", at positions 30 to 406 of the family's 1533-position model. The record is from RNAcentral.
AUUGAACGCUGGCGGCAUGCCUUACACAUGCAAGUCGAACGGCAGCACGGGGGCAACCCUGGUGGCGAGUGGCGAACGGGUGAGUAACAUAUCGGAACGUGCCCUGGAGUGGGGGAUAACUAGUCGAAAGACUAGCUAAUACCGCAUACGAUCUACGGAUGAAAGUGGGGGAUCGCAAGACCUCAUGCUCGUGGAGCGGCCGAUAUCUGAUUAGCAGUUGGUGGGGUAAAGGCCUACCAAGGCAUCGAUCAGUAGCUGGUCUGAGAGGACGACCAGCCACACUGGGACUGAGACACGGCCCAGACUCCUACGGGAGGCAGCAGUGGGGAAUUUUGGACAAUGGGCGCAAGCCUGAUCCAGCAAUGCCGCGUGAGU